Molecule: transfer RNA, 72 nt
Organism: Ogataea parapolymorpha DL-1
Lineage: Eukaryota; Fungi; Ascomycota; Pichiomycetes; Pichiales; Pichiaceae
Rfam family: tRNA
About the family: Transfer RNA (tRNA) molecules are approximately 80 nucleotides in length. Their secondary structure includes four short double-helical elements and three loops (D, anti-codon, and T loops). Further hydrogen bonds mediate the characteristic L-shaped molecular structure. tRNAs have two regions of fundamental functional importance: the anti-codon, which is responsible for specific mRNA codon recognition, and the 3' end, to which the tRNAs corresponding amino acid is attached (by aminoacyl-tRNA synthetases). tRNAs cope with the degeneracy of the genetic code in two manners: having more than one tRNA (with a specific anti-codon) for a particular amino acid; and 'wobble' base-pairing, i.e. permitting non-standard base-pairing at the 3rd anti-codon position.
Source: Rfam
GCCUCUUUGGCCAAGUGGUAAGGCGUCGCACUCGUAAUGCGAAGAUCACCGGUUCAAAUCCGGUAGGAGGCA